Bos taurus (domestic cattle) is the source of this 2162-nucleotide long non-coding RNA. NCBI's taxonomy places the organism in Eukaryota, Metazoa, Chordata, Mammalia, Artiodactyla, Bovidae. The record is from Ensembl.
UUUUUUUCCUCAAAAAUUUUAUUGGGUUCAGGAGGAUUUUUAAAAGUUGAUAUACCAUUGGAAGGACAUUAAAGAUUUUAUAUAAAGAUAAACAAUUAGAGCACUUUACAAUAUACAAUUUUAAGUUUUAUUUGUCAAUUAAAAUUGAAAUUAGUACAAACAGUGACACAAAAAUUUAGUACCAUUUUAAAGGUAUAUAAAGCUAAGGACAUCUCCCAGUUCAAUUUGAGAUCUUCAACUAGAGGCUACGCAGAAUUAAUACUAGACCACUGCUCCUCCACAUUCAAAACCUGUGCUCUUUCCAGAACUCCAUAUAUCCCACCUCCCUAAUAUUAACUAAAGAUGAGGAUGCAAAGAAUGUUAAGAGACUCAAAGCAGGCCUUAUUGGAACCUGAUUGGGGUGUCCAGCUGGUCAUUAAAAUCCAAAUAUAGGUUAAGAUUUACUUGAUCCAGGAUAAUGGCAAAAAAUGAAAAAUGAUUCUGUUAUCACAGUUUUUUCUCAUGUUUUCCUUUUAGCUCCAUUUCUUCACACACGUGUAAAAUAAAUAAACAAACAUCAGCCAUUUAAAAAAUAUCAAAAACACAAUGUUUUCAGAGAUGAAUUCAUAGGAAUUGGAAUUUAAUAGUGAGAUAUUCAUUUAUUCAUCCCUAAGGGUGCCUCCCUUCAGUUUGACUGAGGAAAAUAGGUUCAGUUUUCCUUAUAUAAUAUAAAUAACACUGGAGGAAGAUUGCAUCUGUCAUAGAUGAAAAUACCAUAUUUAUGUCUUCUUAUAAUCCAUUCAUUGCUUUAUGGACCCAAAGUCCUCCAGGGAGUGUCACAAAUCCACAUAAUGUUCCUGAGUGUUACGUUUUGCAUUUGGAUCUAUGAUUUAGCUGACAGAUGUGAAUAAACACUUAGAGUCCAGGAACUCUCUGAUAAGUGCACAUGUGGAGACCAAAGAGUAUAAAUUCCUUUAAGGUCACAUUAGCUCUUCCUUGAAAUCCCCUUCUAUGAUUACUUCUUUGCUGAUGAUAAAAUAAUUUUCCACCAAUGAAUCAACAUAUAUUUUCAAAAUUUGCUAUGCUGUGUUUUAUUAUUUUUCCAUCAAAAUUUUAAUAAAUCAAUUAAAAUGAGAAUGUUUCAAUUUUUAUAAAGAAACAAAACCCUUGAAUCCUACAAUUUUGAUAUAUAUUCUCUAAGAACAAUGAAAAUCCCACUAUUUUUCUAAUUGUUUUGGAGAACAACUCUAGACAUUGUACACCAACAUUGUUUCAAAUUUUAAGCGAUUAAGCACUGAUGCUGAAGCUGGAACUCCAAUACUUUGGCCACUUGAUGCGAAGAACCGACUCAUUGGAAAAGAUUUGAUGCUGGAAAAGAUUGAAGGUCUUCUCAAAUGAGUCAGUUCUUCACAGCAGGUGGCCAAAGUAUUGGAGCUUCAGGUUCAACAUCAGUCCUUCCAAUGAACACUCAGGACUGAUCUCCCUUAGGAUGGACUGGUUGGAUCUCCUUGCAGUCCAAGGGACUCUCAAGAGUCUUCUCUAACAACAAAGUUCAAAAGCAUCAAUUCUUCAGUGGACAACAUCUCACAUCCAUGUAAAAAAUAUUUUUAAUACUCUGGCCUCAUACUUUCCUGACUUUUCUUCACUCAAACUCUCUCGUCUGCCUCCAAGGAUCUUGUCAUCAUCUGGAAUUUCUCUGUCACUGAGUAAACCAGUAUUUAUUCAGAAGUAUGAUAGCUGUAUUAUAUUUAGCAAGAGUUAUUUCAGAAUUUUUGAGAACAGUAUAUAUCAAUGAGGGGCUUCCCAGGUGGCACUAGUGGCAAAGAAUCCACCUGCCAGUGCAAGAGAUGCAGCUUCAAUCCCUGGGUCAGGAAGAUCCCCUGGAGUAGGAAACGGCAACCCACUCCAGUAUUCUUGCCUGGAGAAUCCUAUGAACAGAGAAGCCUGGCGGGCUAUAGCCCAUGGGGUUGCAAAGAAUCAGAUACCACUGAGUGACUGAACACACACAGACACAUGUAUUGAUGAGAGGCAGUCAAGGGUACAUUAGUGUAUUAUCCUAUUUUCUGAAAUUUCCCAGCAGCUUAAAAAAAUUAAAAAAAAAAAAAAAAAAACCUUUCUGUUUUGAAAAAAAAAUUGAGCCUUCCAUUAAGUUACAAGAAUAGCACAGCAUUUCACUUCAUAUC